Molecule: unclassified non-coding RNA, 251 nt
Filed under: Hevea brasiliensis (rubber tree)
Lineage: Eukaryota; Viridiplantae; Streptophyta; Magnoliopsida; Malpighiales; Euphorbiaceae
Source: RNAcentral
CAAUUGUGGCGGAGUUACUGUGAGUUACUUCGAGUGGGUUCAAAACAUCCAAGGGUUCAUGUGGGAGGAAGAGAAGGUGAACCACGAGCUACAACAAUAUAUGACCAGAGGCUUCAAAGAUGUCAAGGAGAUGUGCAAGACCCAUAACUGCGAUCUCCGAAUGGGUGCGUUCACCCUUGGUGUGAACCGUGUCGCUCGGGCAACCGUCCUCCGAGGCUGGGAAGCAUGAUCCUGCUACGGACUUACUUGGG